Molecule: ribosomal RNA, 427 nt
Filed under: uncultured archaeon
Lineage: Archaea
Description: bacterial SSU rRNA
Rfam family: Archaeal small subunit ribosomal RNA
Source: RNAcentral
CACCAGCCCCUCGAGUGGUGGGGAUGAUUAUUUGGCCUAAAGCGUCCGUAGCCGGCCGGGUAAGUUUCCCGUUAAAUCCAAUGUCUCAAGCAUUGGACUGCGGGAAAUACUGCCUGGCUAGAGAGUGGGAGAGGUGUACGGUAUUCUGGGGGUAGGGGCGAAAUCCUUUGAUCCCCGGAGGACCACCAGUGGCGAAGGCUGUACACUAGAACACGUCUGACGGUCAGGGACGAAAGCUGGGGUAGCGAACCGGAUUAGAUACCCGGGUAGUCCCAGCUGUAAACGAUGCAUGCUAGGUGUUGGGUUGGCCACGAGCCACCCCAGUGCCGCAGGGAAGCCGUUAAGCAUGCCGCCUGGGAAGUACGAUCGCAAGAUUGAAACUUAAAGGAAUUGCGGGGAGCACCACCAGGCGUGAAGCCUGCGGUUU